Molecule: long non-coding RNA, 4816 nt
Filed under: Olea europaea subsp. europaea
Lineage: Eukaryota; Viridiplantae; Streptophyta; Magnoliopsida; Lamiales; Oleaceae
Source: RNAcentral
AGAAAGUUGAGAGGAAAUGGCUACAUGUUAGGGCAUGGUCAAAACAUAAUUGGUGCAUUGUCUUGAAAAUUUUCAAAUCAAUAAAUUUAAUCACGUGAUCAAAUCAAUUUAUUUGGCUUGAAUUUUGGUGUAAAUAAUGCACUUGAUCAAAUCAAUUACUUUUAUUUAUGUGCUCAAAGCAAUUACUUUGCUUAAAAUGUGGUGAAUGGUGCAUGUGGUUAAAUAAAUCAUCUUUAAUCAUGACUAAUUGACAUAUUUAUAUAUAAUUUCAUUUAACUUCCAAAUUAACUCUUCACUUUAAGUUCUCAAACUAUGGGCUAAUAAUUAAUAAGGUCAUUUAACUGGAUCUAACUUGUAAGCUGCUUUCCCAAUUUUUUGAAUGAUCUAGAAGGGUCCGAAGUACCUGGGUGAAAGCUUCAAGCUUCUCCUCACUGCAGCAGUCAUCUGUCUGUAGGGUUUUAGCCUCAGAUAAACCCAAUCCCCUACACUAUCCCUUUCUAUCCUCUUUUUAUCAGCGUAAUACUUUAUUCGUGUUUGAGCUUCUUGCAGGUUUUCGCGUGCCAGGGUAAGGAUGAAAUCUCGUCUUCUCAUUUCUUCUUCCACCGCUUAUACUGUUGUGGUUCCAGGCUCAAAGGGGAGGAGGGAUCGUGCCCAUACACUACCUCAAAUGGGGUAAACCCCGUAGAGGAAUGCUAUGAGGUAUUACAAGUCCAUUCAGCCAGGGCUAUCCAAUUAGCCCAAUCUUUUGGUCUAUCACUUGUGAAACAUCUGAGGUACCCUUCUAACCACUUAUUCAUCACUUCCGUCUGACCGUCGGUUCGAGGAUGGUAUGCAGAGCUCAUUAAUAGCUUAGUCCCACUUAAUUUGAAAAUUUCUUUCCAAAAGUGGCUUGUGAGUAUCGCAUCUCUAUCACUGACUAUGCUUUUGUGGUAACUUAAAUAUAUUUUCCAUGAAUGCCUUUGCAACUGUUGCUGCUGUGUAUGGAUGCGCCAGUGGUAUGAAAUGACUGUAUUUGCUGAAUCUGUCCACUAUUACCAUGAUAACACUGUAUCCUUCAGAUAGAGGCAACCCUUCUAUAAAAUCCAUACUUAUAUCCACCCAUGCUUUGUUUGGAAUUGGUAGAGGCUAUAGGGUCCCUGUUGGUUUAAGGUUCUCUGUUUUGUUCCUUUGGCAUACCUCGCAUUCUCUUAUGUAUUUCCUGAUAUCCUUCCUCAUACCUUGCCAAAAAAAAUCCCUUUUGAUCCUGGAGUGGGUCUUUAGUGAUCUGGUGUGCCCCCCCCGAUGGGGCUGCUGUAGAAUUGCUGCAUGAUCUGCUCCUGUUGUUCCUUUAAGGUUCCCAAGUGCAACCUCCCUCGGAAAAAUAAGAACCCUCCUCUGAGUUGGUACUUGAGAGGGUCAAGAUUUCCUUGUUGAUGGUGAUCCGGCAACUGCCUUAACUGAGGAUCUUGUUGGUACACUUGUUGGAGCCCAUCCCACCAGUUGAAUGUCACCAUACUGAUGGCUUUGGUUUCUUCAUAGUCAGCAUGGUUCACUUCUGGUUCUAGUCCAUUGGACAACCUGGAGAGAGCAUCUGCUGCCUUGUUUCCUUUUCCACUACGAUAUUCUAUAUUGAAAUCAAAACCUAACAGUUUUGAAAUCCACUUUUGCUGAAAUGGUAUUCCAAUCUUUUGCUCCAAAAGAUGCUUUAGGGCUUGCUGAUCAGUCCUGACUUUGAACCUGUUCCCCAAUAGAUAGUGCCUCCAUUUUCUAAUGGCUAGUACCAGGGCUAGUAACUCUUUUUCAUAAGUGGAUAAAAAUAAAUUUUUACCUUUCAAUGCUUGACUUAGGUAAGCUAUAGGCCACCUUUCUUGCAUGAGAACAGCUCCCAACCCAUUUCCAAAGGCAUCACACUCCACCACAAACAUCUUUGAGAAGUCUGGUAAUCCAAGGACAAAGAGGAGUCACCAUGGCUAUCGCAAAAGCUUGACUGGCCUCUUCACUCCACUGAAAAGAAUUCUUCUUGAGUAGGACAGUCAAGGGGGCUGCAAUACUUCCAUAUCCUCUCACAAACUUCCUGUAAUAACCUGUUAGACCCAAAAAUCCCCUUGGAGCUUUAGGAUUUUUAGGUUCAGGCCAUUCUAUUAUAGCUGUAAUCUUCAAUGGAUUUGCCUUAUCCCUUCCUUGGAAAUAACAUGACCUAAGUACUCCACUUCUUGGCAUCCAAAGACACAUUUGGAAGCCUUUGCAUACAGCUGAUGUUGUUUCAAAACUUCUAGGACAGCCUUGAGAUGCCCUACAUGCUCCUCCAUAGAUUUACUGUACACAAGUAUAUCGUCAAAGAAAACCAAUACAAACUUCCUUAGAUAUGGCCUGAAUAUCUGAUUCAUCAGCCCUUGGAAGGUUGACGGAGCAUUAGUGAGCCCAAAAGGCAUCACUAAGAACUCAUAAUGCCCCUCAUGUGUAUGAAAAGCAGUUUUGGGCAUAUCUUUUGGCUUCAUCCUGAUUUGGUGGUAGCCCGAUCGUAGAUCAAGUUUAGAAAACAAUUCAGUACCAUUAAGAUCAUCCAAUAAUUCAUCUAUGUUACGGAUGGGAAACUUAUCUUUGAUAGUAUCCUUGUUUAGAGCCCGGUAAUCAAUGCACACGCGCCAACUUCCGUCUGCUUUCCUUAUCAAUAGGACUAGUGAAGAAUAAGGACUUUGGCUUGGUUGUAUGAUCCCUGCCUGCAGCAUCUCCUUGACCAAUCUUUCAAUUUCUUCCUUUUGGUAAUAAGGGUAUCGCUAAGGUCUUAACACAUGUUGGCUUGGCUGCAUCCUGGAGCUGGAUUUGGUGAUUGUGAUUCCUGGGAGGUGGGAGUCCACUGGGUUCAGCAAACACUGUGUUGAAAUCAUUCAAAACACUUUGUAUGGCUGGCUCUAUUGGUGCCCUUCCUGGUUGGUCACCGAUCUCCAUUAUCUGCAGCCAUAGUCCUCUUCCUUCUGUUAUAGCAGCCUUGCUUAAGCUGUGUUCCUCCUCUAUAGCCUUCUCGGGCAGCUUUAGACCCUGUAGAAAUAUGUGUUUCCCUUCCACAAAGAAACUCGUACUUAAAUUAGCAAAGUUCCACUGAAUAGUCCCCGAACUUCUCAACCAAUCUACCCCUAGUACAAGAUCACACCCCCCUAGGGUUAAUAAAAAUAGAUCGGCUAGAAUAUUACAACUCUGCAUCUUUAAGAGAAAUGCCUUACAGCAACCAAGGCAAGGAAUCUUUUCCCAGAUGAUUGCACUUCACCCAAUAACAUUGGUCUUAUUUUCCAUUAGCAACUUGGACUGCCAGGUGGCCUUCUUCCACUGGUAGGUUUGCCCUCCUUGCUACAUUUACAUCAAUAAAGCUAUGCGUGCUUCCAGUAUCAACAAGAACAAUAACUGAACAAGUGCCAAUUUUGCCAACUAACCUCAUAGUCUUGGGUGAAGGUACUCCUGCAAUAGCAUGUAAUGAUAUGCCCAAUAAUUCAGCUUGGUGCCCCGCAAGUAUAAUUGCUGUAUUUGGCUGGUUAAGGGUCUCUUCUGCCUCCAAUUCCUCUCCUUCCUCUUCAAAUUCUAGUCCCUCUAAUAGGUACAGCUUGGGUCUGCUACAUUUGUGUCCUUGAUGGUAUUUUUCAUCACAGAAAUAGCAUAGGCCCUUCUCUCCUUUCUUGCGUUUGAUUGGGACUUAUGCGUUUAAUAGGAUAAGGGGUUUUUUUGUGGAAUGGUGGGUUAGGUCUUAGGGUUGGUGGGGCUGGAAGUCUUGGUACUGGGUUAGGGGCUAGUAAUCUGAGUGUGGGAUUUUGUGUUGGUAAUCUGAGAUGGGAAGGCUUGAAUGAGGCUGAGUGGGAACUAUUUUGGGCUGGGUGAUUUUGGUGGUGAAAUUGCUUCAGGAAAACCUUCUCUUCUUGUAAUCGUGCUAAACCAAAGGCAACCGAGAGGGUAUUUGGUUUGAACAUGGUGACAAUAAUUCGUAAUUCAUCUUUUAAGCCACUUAGGAAAGUACUUAUGCGAAAAUCUUCACUUACCCCACUUACUUUCUUGGACAGGAGUUCGAAGGCAGUUUGGUAUUCCUCAACGCUCCCUGUCUGCCUCGGCUUGGUAAAUGCCCAAACUGGAUCUUCAUAUGCUGAAGGUCCAAAUCUUGUGCGGAGAGCCAACAAGAAUCAAUCCCAAGUGACCAUCGGAUUUGACUAUUUCCACCAAGAGUACCAUGUCAGCGCCUUCCCCUCCAUGUGAAAGGAAGCAAUUUCCAGCUUGUGAGCUUCUGGAGUGUCGAAAUAUUUAAAGAAUUGCUGUGCCUUUAGGAUCCAUUCAUUGGGAUCUCCUCCUUCAAAACGAGGAAAAUCCAGUCGAAGAGAUCAAGCUUGGAUUCCACCAUUUCCUUCAAACAGAGGAUUAGUAUUUGUUUUUAUAUUAUUUGAAGGCCCUUCCCCUGAGCUGAGUUUGAUUGUAAUUUGCACUAAGCUAUCAUAGCUUGAUGCUAAAUUGUUGAGCUGCUGUAACACCCCUUCAAUUAGCAUUCCAUGCCUGGACUGUUCAUCCUUAAGUGCAGCGGUCUCCCCAUGCAGGUUGUGAACUGUUUCUGAUAAUUUUGAAUAGCGUGCUCCAUCCGCCAUGUCGCCGGAACACAGCUCCGAAAUCACGUUGUUAUGAACCAGAAUUCUUUUAAGAAAUUAAAUGGCUAUUCGAGGUGCCAAACCUCCAGAUUUGCUCUCGGCAAUUUGAUUAAACAGGAAACUUGAUUUCAUUAAAACUGGUCGUGCCUUAUGUUGGCAUUACAAGCAACGGUUACAUGGAGUAACUGACCCACAUACACGGACUAGUGCACCCACUAAAU